Long non-coding RNA from Xiphophorus couchianus (Monterrey platyfish), 418 nucleotides. RefSeq lists it as uncharacterized. The transcript has 2 exons. NCBI's taxonomy places the organism in Eukaryota, Metazoa, Chordata, Actinopteri, Cyprinodontiformes, Poeciliidae. The record is from RefSeq and is a predicted model, not a curated record.
AUGUGGCAGUAUGCCCUGUGGGCUCUGAACGCACCACACAAGUGCCUGACUUUAAUUGGUUGUAGCGCUGUCUGUAUAUAAAGGGCCCUCCCUCACCUGGUAGACAACACGUUCUCCUUCCGGUUCAGAUUUCACUGUUUACUGGUGCUAUACGACUGACGCGCUUAAUACAUUAAUUGCUGUUCAAGCCUUCUUCUGGAACGGCCAGCUCGUGGUGUUGGUGGUGGACUUUCCGGGUGGUGGUACUUUCUUUGGUUUGGUGCACGAUUUUCUUUUAUUUGGUUUGCUGUGUUUCCUUUGUAGGUCCCUGCCAGCUUCGAGUUGAGCCGUAAAUGUCAUUUUAAUGUGUGAGUGAUUUUAAAUUAAUAUAUUUCUGACUAGAAAAUUGAAAUAAAUAAACUGAUUGGAUUGAGUGGAA